RNAcentral lists this ribosomal RNA (253 nucleotides) under uncultured bacterium. RNAcentral's name for it is "partial 16S ribosomal RNA". It matches the Rfam family "Bacterial small subunit ribosomal RNA", at positions 524 to 776 of the family's 1533-position model. The record is from RNAcentral.
UACGAAGGGGGCAAGCGUUGUUCGGAAUUACUGGGCGUAAAGCGUGCGCAGGCGGCGCGUUAAGACAGGUGUGAAAGCCCCGAGCUUAACUUGGGAAUUGCGCUUGUGACUGGCGGGCUGGAGUGUGGCAGAGGGAGGUGGAAUUCCACGUGUAGCAGUGAAAUGCGUAGAGAUGUGGAGGAACACCGAUGGCGAAGGCAGCCUCCUGGGCCAGCACUGACGCUCAUGCACGAAAGCGUGGGGAGCAAACAGG